ACCUAGCUGGCUCAGUUGGUAGAGCAUGCAACUCUUGAUCUUGGGGUUGUGAGUUCAAGCCCCAUGUUGGGUA
RNAcentral lists this transfer RNA (73 nucleotides) under Canis lupus familiaris (dog). It matches the Rfam family "tRNA". Rfam says of the family: Transfer RNA (tRNA) molecules are approximately 80 nucleotides in length. Their secondary structure includes four short double-helical elements and three loops (D, anti-codon, and T loops). The record is from Rfam by way of RNAcentral. Lineage: Eukaryota; Metazoa; Chordata; Mammalia; Carnivora; Canidae. RNAcentral also lists the same sequence under 1 other name.